RNAcentral lists this transfer RNA (71 nucleotides) under Phycisphaerales bacterium. RNAcentral's name for it is "tRNA-Gln". It matches the Rfam family "tRNA". Rfam says of the family: Transfer RNA (tRNA) molecules are approximately 80 nucleotides in length. Their secondary structure includes four short double-helical elements and three loops (D, anti-codon, and T loops). Lineage: Bacteria; Pseudomonadati; Planctomycetota; Phycisphaerae; Phycisphaerales. The record is from RNAcentral.
UGGGGAUUAGUGUAACGGUAGCACGACUGAUUCUGGUUCAGUUAGUCUAGGUUCAAAUCCUAGAUCCCCAG